RNAcentral lists this ribosomal RNA (486 nucleotides) under uncultured bacterium. RNAcentral's name for it is "partial 16S ribosomal RNA". It matches the Rfam family "Bacterial small subunit ribosomal RNA", at positions 30 to 507 of the family's 1533-position model. The record is from RNAcentral.
AUUGAACGCUGGCGGAAUGCUUUACACAUGCCAGUCGAACGGCAGCACGGGAGCUUGCUCCUGGUGGCGAGUGGCGAACGGGUGAGUAACAUAUCGGAACGUACCCAGUCGUGGGGGAUAACUAUCCGAAAGGAUAGCUAAUACCGCAUACGUCCUGAGGGAGAAAGCGGGGGAUCGCAAGACCUCGCGCGAUUGGAGCGGCCGAUAUCGGAUUAGCUAGUUGGUGGGGUAAAGGCUCACCAAGGCGACGAUCCGUAGCGGGUCUGAGAGGACGACCCGCCACACUGGAACUGAGACACGGUCCAGACUCCUACGGGAGGCAGCAGUGGGGAAUUUUGGACAAUGGGGGCAACCCUGAUCCAGCCAUUCCGCGUGAGUGAAGAAGGCCUUCGGGUUGUAAAGCUCUUUCAGCAGGAACGAAACGGUCGGCUUUAAUAAAGUCGGCUAAUGACGGUACCUGCAGAAGAAGCACCGGCUAACUACGUG